CUAUCCAACUGCCUCCUAAAGACAUCCACGGAAACAGUGAUUCAUCCCGACACACUGGUGAACUCUUGGAGCAGGGAGCCUCCAUAUAAAUGACAGGCAGUGACAGGAAGAUCUCACUCUUGAUCAAUGACAAGGUUUCUGGCUGCCCAG
RNAcentral lists this long non-coding RNA (150 nucleotides) under Nannospalax galili (Upper Galilee mountains blind mole rat). Its description in RNAcentral is "FTX transcript, XIST regulator conserved region 3 (ENSNGAG00000008458.1)". It matches the Rfam family "FTX transcript, XIST regulator conserved region 3". Lineage: Eukaryota; Metazoa; Chordata; Mammalia; Rodentia; Spalacidae. The record is from RNAcentral.